AGUGAACGCUGGCGGUAGGCCUAACACAUGCAAGUCGAACGGCAGCACAGUAAGAGCUUGCUCUCACGGGUUGCGCGUGGCGGACGGGUGACGUAUACAUCGGACUCUACUUUUUCGUGUGGGAUAACGUAGGGAAACUUACGCCACUACCGCAUACUCCCUACGGGUGUAAGCAGGGGUACUUCGGACCUUGUGGGGUUGAAUGAGCCGAUGUCUGAUUAGCUAGUUGGCGGGGUAACGGACCACCCAGGCGACGAUCCGUAGCUGGUCUGAGAGGAUGAGCAGCCACACCGGAACUGAGACACGGUCCAGAGUCCUACGGCAAGCAGAAGUAGGGAUUAUUGAACAAGGGGAGCAAUCGUGAGACAGCCAUAGCGCGUGCGUGAAGAAGACCUUCGGGUUCUGAAGCCCUUUUAUCGGGAAGGAGAAGAAAAAAGUUCAUUGCCCGCUGAUCUGACGGUACCCAAAGAAUAAGCACCGGCUAACUACGUG
Molecule: ribosomal RNA, 492 nt
Filed under: uncultured bacterium
Lineage: Bacteria
Description: partial 16S ribosomal RNA
Rfam family: Bacterial small subunit ribosomal RNA
Source: RNAcentral